This 1199-nucleotide long non-coding RNA is filed under the name Homo sapiens (human). Its description in RNAcentral is "novel transcript". The record is from RNAcentral. Lineage: Eukaryota; Metazoa; Chordata; Mammalia; Primates; Hominidae.
GGACUGCGGCUGCGCCGCUUACCCGCACACAGACGGUUGGCAGAGGAAGAAAGCCUUGUCACACUAAAGGAGAGACAGCGGAUGUUCUGAACAGUCCUGUCGUGAAACGUUAGACAACGUGGACGAAACAGGCACAUUCCUAAGCAUCACACAUUACUGAAACUCAGUCAAGAAGAAAUAGAAAAUCUGAAUACAUCCAUGGCAAGCACAGAAACUGAACUAGGGGAUUCGAAAUCUUCCCACAAAGAAAAGCCUAGGCCCAACUGGCCUCUAUGAUACAGCAAGAAGGUGCCAUCUAUGAAGGAGAAGACAAGCCCUCACCAGACACCAAAUCUGCUGAUGCUUUGAUCUUGGACUUCCCAGCCUCCAGAACUUUUCAGACUUUGGACAACAUGUAGCCCAGGACAGUGAUCCCUGAGAAAAGGAAGACAAAUGAGGUGACACUGUGAUAGACCCAGAUCAACGCCUGGAAAAAGUUUCAAAGCUACAAUGUGAGGAGUGGGGACAAAACAGUCUAGUGGCUUUGCUGAGUGGAGAAGGCAAGUACUGGAGUCCAGGCAAAGUAUUGGUGAAGGUGGAGCCCUGGAGAAAAAGAACUCUAGAGAUCUGUAAGAGGCUCUCCUUGAAACUUCUACUGAGCACAGUUCUGCACAUGCAUGUAUAGAAUUUACUCAAGAUGAAGAAAGAACCAACGAAAAAAAGCAUAGUAUAAUGCUGAGAACUCAUAAAAUCGAGUAGGAAAUCUUGCCUAUUGAAAGAGCAUUGAGACAGAGUCCUCAGAAGGAAUUUUCUCAGUGGUGGGAACAAAUUAGCUAUAAACCCAAGUUUGCUCUGAUAUUGCUAUAACAAAGCUUAAAAGCAACUCUCAAAAGGCUCAAACUGAGUACAAAACAUCUAAUUGUAACCCAGGGUACUUCCCAACAGUAUUCAAGGGAAUAAAAUAUUUUGUGUAUAUUUUGUAUUACAGGAAUAUAUUGUAUUCCUUUAUAUAGCAUAUUGUAUUUCUUUAUAUAUGAAAUGAUAUAUCAUCCUAAUUUAGAGCAUGAAGUUACAGAUGUAUAUUAUAAACUCUAGAACAACCACUAACACUAUUUUAGAAAGCUAUAAAUGAUAAGCAAAUAGAGAUAAAAUAGAAUGAUAAAAUAUAAUCAAUCCAGAAUAUGGGAAGAAAAAGAAAAAGGGAGCAAAAAAAAAUGAAA